This 456-nucleotide long non-coding RNA is filed under the name Fukomys damarensis (Damara mole-rat). RNAcentral's name for it is "lncRNA (ENSFDAG00000022889.1)". The record is from RNAcentral. Lineage: Eukaryota; Metazoa; Chordata; Mammalia; Rodentia; Bathyergidae.
GCUCAUUUUGCAGAUCCAGUUUCUCCCUAACUCUUUAUUUUCCCUUUUUCAAAUCAACUUUGUUACGGAUAUUUGCUUGUUUUAUCUAAUUCUUUGAGAAAAGAAGAACCUAGAAUCUAACUACAGAGAAAAAGGCAAGCAACCCGGAAUCUGAGCGGGAGAAAGGCUGCCUGCCUGUCUGCCUGUCUGCGAUCACCCAGCGGCGUGCGCGCGAGCUCCCGGCCUGCGCGGGAGCCCCCGGCCUGCGGGACAACAGACCCAGGAAGGAAGGUAGCCGCGCGGGCGCCCUUGAAACACCCACACGACCCCCCCCCCCGUUCUCAAAACUCCUGAUCGGGCCAGUCCUUAGACCAACUCUGCAGAGGCAUAGGUUCCCAUGAAGGGUAGUUUUCUGAGCUCCGAACUUUGAUCAUCUUUAAAGAAAGGGCAGGGGAAACCUGUAAUAGAACGGAGUGG